AGGAAGCAUCCGAUAGGAUUCUGUCCUUCAAGGAGCUUGCGGUCCCAUCCAGGGACAAUGAAUCAAGAUGCCAUCUAAUAGCAGGGGACCCUUCUAACAAACAAGUGCUGGGAGAAUCUGGGGGUGAAGCAGCUCUUAGAGGCCGCACUGCUGAGGGGGUGAUGGUUCUCCCCACGGAUUCCAGGAGAAAUGGUUGCUUCUUUUGGAGCCAGCUCAUGGGAGGAGCUCUUGUGUCUACUGUAAGCCAAUCACAGUGAAGCCCCAGGAAGGCCACAUGUCUGGGGUUGGACUCCAUAGAUAGGCUUCACUAAUGGGGACACACCAGGAGUGCUUUGUCUUUUCACUGUCCCCUGAACUGUCACUGACACUCAAGUCCUCUGCCAUCCAUAGCGAAACUAAAGUUGCCAGCUGAGAGAGUUUGUCUCUGCAGUUCUUUGCCUCUUUAGUGUUGGGGAAGAGGAGGAAAGAGGGUGAGGAGAGCUCCCGGAAGGGGAGGUGCCUUCCUGAGCCCUCGUCCUCCGAGCGCCCUUCCUGCAGGCCCAGCACUGCUUACCACCUCGCCCACACUGUGCUCCCUCACACAUCCUGCACGCCAUAGCUCGCCAUCUGUCCGCAGCCCAGGCACUGGGAGUGGGGUGUGAGUGGCUGCUAUACUGAACCAAAGGAGACAAAUGAGCAGGAGCAGUGACCCCCCAAGGACUUCUGUCCACCCAUUCUGAUGGCGCCUAAAGAGGAAGGUCUUGCAGCUUCGACCUUAAACAGCUCUAGUGAUCUGUGGAUACCACGAUACGGUUGAGUGCAGAAACUGAAUGUGAGAGCAAAGCACUCUGGGAAGAACAAGGAAGAGCCCGUUGGUCCUAGCAGCACAUGCACACGUGUGUGUGUGUGUGUGUGUGACACGUCGGCAGAUUGUGACCAGGUCUCACAGAGGCACUGGAAAGACAGCAGCUUCAGAUGGUUAAACACAAGAACAUUCUUGAUCACGUGGCUCAAAAUAACAAAGGGAAGCAUGAAACAGCUUUUCUCGGAGGGUCUGAAGAUGGAGAACAUGCACCUAUAGGUGAAGAGGUCUUUGGUGGCCAAGGUAACUCGGUGGACAUUUAUUUGAGCAUCACGAUGUCCUAGACACGGUGCUGGUAUCAGUGAUGGUGCAGGGGCACAGAAGAUGCGUCCUGUUCUCAGCGUGCCCAGGGCUUGGUAGAAAAGGAAGUUGGAGUUGAGGGAUUGGAUUCAAGUUUUCUCAGCCUCCAGAAGAAACAAGGCUUUGGAUCAACACCUCCAAAACAAGAGCACCAGCCCUCAGGGAAGAAGUGUGAGAAAUCUGUUCUUCUACUAAAUAUAAUUUAAAAAUAAUUUCUGUAAGUCCCCGAAGAACACUUCUGAGCUACUUUCUGUACUGUGCUUGAGUUAGUCCUGAACGCGGAGUGAAGCGUGGGGUGUCACAGCUUGGUUUUGGCUGUGCUCUAGGGAAUUAAGGGGGAAAUUUGUGCACACAUCUAGGGCGAAGCAGAGGAGAGCACAGAGGUGUGGGAAGGUGUUUACAGGAUGUUAAGAAACCCACGGUGAAGCCUGGAUCUCAACAUCCACAUCAAGAUGGCUUGUAAGUGGCCAGGCCAGCGCUGGGCAACCAGGAACUCAGCUGCUGGGAAAAGUCCAUUGCUACUCAGAAUCUCCUAUCUGUGGUAAAUGUAAACAGAGCCUUAUUUAUUCAGUAAGCACUGAGCCCCUACUGUGUGCCAAACCCAUUGUUUCAAAUGGCCUGGCCAGCAGCUUCACACUAUGAUACUCUCAUACUGUCUGCUCCUCAAGAGAAAGAAGUCACCUCCGUUAAUCUCUGUUCCUUCCCAGGCUUCUGUCACUUCCCACCCUAGGAUGGGACAAUGGGGACAUCCAGUGGUCACCCUCGCCUGGAAAGUAUACUGUUCAAUCUCAGAGGACAAGGCCAUGGUUAUAGUUUAAAAGGCACACUUCAAAGCCCUGGUUAUUCAAACCAAAAAAUAAAAUAAAAAACAGCACAAAAGUCCCACAUUUACAGUAGUUAACUGCCCAGCCAGGGGAAACCUGCUCCUAGAUCCAGAGUGAUGUUAAGAAAAGGCCAGGUCUGGUCACUGUUAGGACCUAUUUUAACGCUGGCCAGGAGAAAAUCCAUGCAGAAAACAUACACUGUACAUAUUUCCUGGGAGAGGUACAAUUUUCAAAGGCAAAACUAAAUCCACAUUUAGGACAAAAAUGUUUAUCUGCAAGGGUGCAUUUCUACCAAAUAGAGCAGAAUGUAGGUUGCUCAGUGUCACAUUUAACAUUUCUGUCAGAAGCACUGGCUUUCAGUUUCCGGGAGACUUAAGUUUUUCUUUCCUAGAAGAGCGAUAGGUGGUUAUUAUGCUUACAAAAGUGUUCUUUGACUUGCCUAGUGUGAAAGAGCCUGUUUCAGAGAUGAAUUAGUGUUUUACUCCUAACACAUUUUAGCUAUCGUGAAAAACAAACAAUUCCACUGGUCACCCUAUGCUGGGGGUGAGGACUGCAUGCCCCACGAAAAAACAGAAAAGAACCCACCAGAUGGAGUGCUGGGGGACUGAGGCUGGGUGGGAGCCAAUGCCCUGGGCAGGAAGGUGAGGAGAGAGGGACCCUGACAGAUCAAGCUGCACUUAGGAGAGGGGACCGAAGGGGAGGUGACAUUUUGCUUGAGAGGUCAUGGAGGGCUGACAUUUUGUUCGAAUAGUCUGACAUUCACACCUAUUUCAUGUUUUUAAAAAACCCAAACUAUUAAGUGUGCAUUUAAAAAAUUACUAUUACACUUUUUAAAAAUGUGUUUUACAUAUUUUUUCUUAUUGUUUAUUGGUACAGUUUAGAUAUACAUAAUGAUCGCAUUCCUCAUAGGGAAUCUGUACCUCACAUGAUAUAUCUUGAUUCCUCUUUUGUUUCCCAAUCUCCUCUCCCCCCUUCAACCCCUCUUUCUCUCCUUAUUUACCAAGUUUUAUCCUUCUUUUAUAGGUUUUUUCUUUCCUCUUCCUUCCUUUCCCCUCCCCUAGUUGCCCUUCCUUUUGAACAAUUUCUCCCUAUUUUGCCAUACCUUUUAUAUACUUUGGUCCUUAUGUAUAUUAAUUUUCAGUAUCUCAAACCAGGAAAACAAUGUGAUAUUUAUACGUGUGUGUACAGUUCAUUUCACUGAAGAGUGAGGUCUCAAGGUGCAUACAUUGACAAGGAAAUAUCUCAAGUUUAUCUUUCUUGACAUCUGAGUAGUACUCGAUUGUAUUAAAAGAAAACCCACAUCUUAUUUUUUCAUUCCUUGGUUGUUGGACAUUUGGGUUAUUUCCAAGAUUUAGGUAUUGCAAACUGUGCUGCUCUGUAAACAUGGGGGCAUAUACUGCUGUGGUAUGAUGUUUUUAAUUCUUCUAGGAAGAUACCAAGAAAGGGAAUAGUUGGGUCAAAUGGAACUUCUAAUUCUAGUUUUUUGAGGAAUCGCCACACUAAUUUUCACUGGCUGCUCCAAUCUGCACCCCUACGCACAGUGCAGAAGGACCCCUUUUUCCCCACAGUCCCUCCAGCCUUUGUUAUUAGUUGAUUUCCCAAUGAUGGUCAUUCUUUCUGGGGUGAGAAGGAAUCUCAGUGUUGUUUUAAUUUGCAUCUCUCAGAUAACCAGUGAUGUUGAACAUUUUUUCAUACAUGUGUUUGCCAUUUGUUAUUUCUCUGAGAAGUAUGCAUAAAGCAUUGGAAAAAACCUGACAUUGGCUGGGGAUUUAGCUCAGUGGCACAAGCACUUGCCUGGCAAGUACAAGGUCAUAGGUUCAAUCCCGGGCACCAAAAAAAAGAAAAAAAAAAAACAGACAUUCUUAUCCUCUAUCCUAUUUUCAGUUUUAAAAUGGAGAGAAUAACUAAGGAGGGAUGUUGGGUUGAGUUUAAUGUACUAUACUCUACAUCAAAGACAAUAAUUUCUAGACUGUGUCAGAGUGAACAUAAAUCACUGUAUUUCCUAGGAGUUUAUCAUGAAGGCUUCUCUCUUCAUAUCUAAUAUACUCCUGUUACAUACCAUAGUAUGUACACAUUUAAUGAAUAAAUCAAAGCUAUAGGGUGUGAAUUAAUUUAAUAAACUUUGAGUAACUACCUCAUUCGACAUUCAAAUAACAGACCAACUACCCUCACGAAAUAGUCUCAUUUUGUUACUUCAUUUAAUAAUCAUAACAACUCCUGAAGUACAUAGUUCUAUUUAAUACACAUAGAAACCUAAACUCAAAGUAAACAAUUCGAAGGUACAGAUUAGAAAUGAAAAACAAAACAAGGCUGGGUUUGGAAUCAGGUCUCUUGUUCCCAGUUCAUUCGGUCAUUCUUUCAUUCCUCCAGGGAACAUUCCCAAGGCAGGGACCAUGAGCCAUUUGUAAUUUUUUUUUUAUUUUAAAAAGAAUAAAGCAAAAGAAAGCAAAUAAUAAAAUGCAACAAAACAAAACAAUGAGAGUGAUAUUGGAUUUCAAAAACUAGACAGUAGGGCUGGGGGUUUAGCUCAGUGGCUUAAGCGUGGCAAGCUGAGGUCAUGAGUUCAAUCAGACAAUAGGAAGUCAACAGUAGUUACUAUGUUAUGCAUUGUUAUCCUCUCAACAGAUAAGGGCACACACAGUUAAUCAAACAAGCACUAAGCACUGACUUGUUUCUUUACUUGAGUUGCUCUCAUUUCAGGAAUUUCAGGUGUGUGACUUCUGAAUUCUUCUGUGUCUGUGUCUCCUGCACUUGUUCUGGGUGGGCUGGAGGUCUGAGACUGCACCUUGCUCCUUUGUCUUGACAUUUUCCUGCUUUCCUCCCGAUGAGCCAUUUGCUGGGUCCCAGGCACUUCUUGCACUGGCUGCCCAUCCCCAAUGUAGAGGACUGGGCUGGGCCCCUCAGUUCCUCUGAUCUGAAGUUCCUGGAGCGGUGGAGAGGUGCUGGACAGUGGCUCACCAAUGCUCCCCUGUUGGCAGUGGGGCUCAGGGCACAGCGUUCUGUCUUCUGCGUCAUGGCUUCUUCUCUAUUUUUUUUUUUGAGACAAGUUCUUUCUAUGCAGUUCAGCCUGGACUCAAACUCAUGAUGACCCUCCUGUCUCAGCCUCCCAAGUGCUGGGAUUCCAGACAUGCAUCAUCACACCUGCCUAAUGCAAACCUUUUAGAGCCCACUGUAGCAUGUGUACCAUAAGUUUGCUACCAUUCUAGAGUGUUGUUAGUCAUGGUUUCCCCUGGUGAAAUCUCAGUCUAAGCAAAUUACUGCUGAACACUGAGUCUCAUGAAGACAAUUAUUUAGAAAAUAGGCUCAGUUAUUCACUCAGGCCAUUUUAUGGGCUGAAUUAAAAGUUUUCUGUAUUUGUCAUAAGUGAAGAAUUGUUUAGGAAUUAUGACCAAUCAGUUGAAUGUCAACUUGUUCAGUUUUGGGAUUGAGGUUAGAAGUCUUAACCACUAAAGAAGCUGUCACAAUGUCACUCUCUCACCCCAAUCUCUCAUAUACAUUUCAAGAAAACUUACAUCUGAAUCAUAAAACAAAUGUAGCACAGUGCAUUAAAGCCUGCUUUUCCUCCUAAUGACUACUCAUGUGCUAUUUCUGGCUCUGUGCAGUGCCCUAGGCACAUACUUGAUCUGCUCCUUGCUUCAUCCAAUCUGGGAUACCAGCUGUCUAUUGUGCAUUUCAUUGGCAUUGGGCCCUGCUUGAAUCUUUGUCCAUUAAUUUGAAAAUAAUUAUCAGCUAAACUUCCAGAUGAAGACUAUAAAUCUAUUCUCCAGAAAAGAGGUUGAGUUCGAAGUCACAGAAGCUGCAGACCGUUUUCUGUUCCCACUCCAGGUGGCUAGGACAGCUCGUUUGGUGUGAUAUAAAAUGGGUAUGUCACCCAUUGUGCCAUUAGUGUGCCAUGGAAAUCUUGUGCAAAAGAUUAUGGUCUGUGUAUCUGAGGAGAGGAAAAUUUGAAACUCUGGAAAAUAUUUGAAAGGGUUCUUGUUGCCUCCAUAGAAGUUAAUGUUACCACAGUUUGGAAACUUGAGGCUUCAUUAAUUAUUUUUAAUUUGGCAUUGAAAAGUGCAUAAUCUUAUAAUUGCAACCUACCAAUAAACCUCUCUACUCCUUUCUAAUGAACCAUUUUAUACACAACUUGAGAUACAUGAUUAAUUAGGUGACAAGACUAGCUAGACAACUAAGACUCUAUUGUAUAAAUAAAUGCAGGUAAGUCCUGAGUUACAAACUAAGUCCUGAGUUAAGUUCUUUUCUUUCUUGAGAGUAUGGAAAAAUCAGAACACAAAAUUUUUUUAAACAUCAGAAUAAUGUCUGCAAGAAAUGCAGAUGUUUCCCUAACUUGGGACAUACAAGAUUUGGUUUGAAAUGCUCUGAAUUCUAUGGUUACUCUCCUUAAAGAAACAUACUGUCCUACGUUUUUGGUUGUUUUAUUUGCUUUCUUUGCCAAAAAUUCUAUUGAUAAGGAAAUAGAAAAGUCACUGGAGUUUUUACUAACUGAGUUUCUUCAUCUACAAAAUGGAACUCUCACUGGUACUGUUCGCAGAUGUCUUGAGCUCUGGGUGAAUGAUUUGGGGAUGACAGUGUACAAUGUAUGUACCAUUGUUGCUCUCUGAUUGACAUAGUUUCAAAUUUUUAGUUUUUUUCUUUUCCUUGUUUUCCUCGAAAUAAAAUAGAUUUGAAAAAAAAA
Molecule: long non-coding RNA, 6643 nt
Organism: Cavia porcellus (domestic guinea pig)
Lineage: Eukaryota; Metazoa; Chordata; Mammalia; Rodentia; Caviidae
Exons: 3
Source: RefSeq, a predicted model, not a curated record